AGGAGGUGAUAACGCGGCACAGAAGUAGAGUCUUUAACUUAUAUGAUGGUGACGGCAGCAUCAGUGUCAUUUCCAGAGUGGAAGGUAGAGGAAGUGUAACUGAGAGAAGUGAAAAUACAGAGCUACGAGGAGACGGAGAGAUUCAGGGAGGAGCUGAGCUGUUACUGAACUAUAGAAGAGAGAGGAACUUCCACAUUCAGCAGAGUUCAAUACACAAACCAGAAACAUUACCUUUAUUCAACAUGCUGUCACUGGACUAUUAUGGACUUUCUCUACUGUUACUAUCCAUUCUAACAGGUGUCAGCUGUGAAGAACUCACUCCAGUCAAGAAUGAAGAGUUCAGUUUAGAAGGCAGCACUGUUACUCUGUCCUACAAAUACUCCAAAUCAGAAAUUGGUAGUGAUUAUUUCUUCUGGUAUCGACAAUAUCCAGGAAAACCACCAAAGUUCCUCAUCUCUCAUUUCGGAACAGGAAGACAAAUUUCAGAUUCGGUCCCUGGACUGUCUGUUAAAGUGAGUGAGGAUAAAACCCGAAUGGAUCUGCAGAUCUCCUCUGCUGCAGUGACAGACUCUGCUCUGUACUACUGUGCUGUGAGGCCCACAGUGACAGCAAACCCACAGUCUCUGUACAAAAACACAAGCUGACACACUGACAAGCUGCUGGAAGCCUUUUUUCCACACUGUUGUACUGAAGUUUUGACCUCCACUAGAGGGCGACAUUAUCAAGUAGGCGGUGCACUACUUCUGCACUGUGUUCAACCGUUGUGUCAAUAAUAACUGCU
Non-coding RNA from Siniperca chuatsi (mandarin fish), 781 nucleotides. NCBI's taxonomy places the organism in Eukaryota, Metazoa, Chordata, Actinopteri, Centrarchiformes, Sinipercidae. The record is from the annotation of a RefSeq genome assembly.